AUGUUGUCCUCUGUGUAUAACCAGUUAUUAGGUCUAUAAUGAUGUGUUUUGCUCUGUGUAUAACCAGAGUUAUUAGGUCUGUAAUGAUGUGUUUUGCUCUGUGUAUAACCAGUUAUUAGGUCUAUAAUGUUGUCCUCUGUGUAUAACCAGUUAUUAGGUCUAUAAUGAUGUGUUUUGCUCUGUGUAUAACCAGAGUUAUUAGGUCUAUAAUGUUGUCCUCUGUGUAUAACCAGAGUUAUUAGGUCUAUAAUGUUGUCCUCUGUGUAUAACCAGAGUUAUUAGGUCUGUAAUGUUGUCCUCUGUGUAUAACCAGAGUUAUUAGGUCUAUAAUGUUGUCCUCUGUGUAUAACCAGAGUUAUUAGGUCUAUAAUGAUGUGUUUUGCUCUGUGUAUAACCAGAGUUAUUAGGUCUAUAAUGUUGUCCUCUGUGUAUAACCAGAGUUAUUAGGUCUAUAAUGUUAUGUUUUGCUCUGUGUAUAACCAGUUAUUAGGUCUAUAAUGAUGUGUUUUGCUCUGUGUAUAACCAGAGUUAUUAGGUCUAUAAUGUUGUCCUCUGUGUAUAACCAGAGUUAUUAGGUCUAUAAUGUUGUCCUCUGUGUAUAACCAGAGUUAUUAGGUCUGUAAUGUUGUCCUCUGUGUAUAACCAGAGUUAUUAGGUCUGUAAUGAUGUGUUGUCCUCUGUGUAUAACCAGAGUUAUUAGGUCUAUAAUGUUGUCCUCUGUGUAUAACCAGAGUUAUUAGGUCUGUAAUGAUGUGUUUUGCUCUGUGUAUAACCAGAGUUAUUAGGUCUAUAAUGUUGUGUUUUGCUCUGUGUAUAACCAGUUAUUAGGUCUAUAAUGUUAUGUUUUGCUCUGUGUAUAACCAGAGUUAUUA
Oncorhynchus keta (chum salmon) is the source of this 872-nucleotide long non-coding RNA. RefSeq lists it as uncharacterized. The transcript has 6 exons. Lineage: Eukaryota; Metazoa; Chordata; Actinopteri; Salmoniformes; Salmonidae. The record is from RefSeq and is a predicted model, not a curated record.